Molecule: ribosomal RNA, 456 nt
Filed under: uncultured bacterium
Lineage: Bacteria
Description: bacterial SSU rRNA
Rfam family: Bacterial small subunit ribosomal RNA
Source: RNAcentral
UACGGGAGGCAGCAGUGGGGAAUAUUGCACAAUGGGCGCAAGCCUGAUGCAGCCAUGCCGCGUGUAUGAAGAAGGCCUUCGGGUUGUAAAGUACUUUCAGUCGUGAGGAAGGUGUUAAGGUUAAUAACCUUAGCAAUUGACGUUAGCGACAGAAGAAGCACCGGCUAACUCCGUGCCAGCAGCCGCGGUAAUACGGAGGGUGCGAGCGUUAAAUCGGAAUUACUGGGCGUAAAGGGCACGCAGGCGGUUAAUUAAGUUGGAUGUGAAAUCCCCGGGCUUAACCUGGGAAUGGCAUUCAAGACUGGUUAGCUAGAGUCUUGUAGAGGGGGUAGAAUUCCAUGUGUAGCGGUGAAAUGCGUAGAGAUGUGGAGGAAUACCGGUGGCGAAGGCGGCCCCUGGACAAAGGACUGACGCUCAUGUGCGAAAAGCGUGGGGAGCAAACAGGGAUUAGAUACC